RNAcentral lists this ribosomal RNA (289 nucleotides) under Candidatus Kaiserbacteria bacterium CG10_big_fil_rev_8_21_14_0_10_44_10. RNAcentral's name for it is "partial 16S ribosomal RNA". It matches the Rfam family "Bacterial small subunit ribosomal RNA", at positions 54 to 375 of the family's 1533-position model. The record is from RNAcentral. Lineage: Bacteria; Candidatus Kaiseribacteriota.
CAUGCAAGUCGAAUGGGUUUAGACCCAUGGCAGACGAGGUAGGAACACGUAGGUACGUACCCCAAAGUCAGGGAUAACCCGGCGAAAGUCGGAGUAAUACUUGAUGGUCUCGAAAGAGUAAAGAUUUAUCGCUUUGGGAACGGCCUGCGGUCUAUCAGCUUGUUGGUAAGGUAACGGCUUACCAAGGCUACGACGGAUAGGGGAGCUGAGAGGCUGACCCCCACCGAUGGAACUGCGACACGGUCCAUACUCCUACGGGAGGCCGCAGUCGAGAAUCUUCCGCAAUGGA